GCUGACCUGGAUUUAGUGGUCUCUGGGCUUCAAAAGGGUGCAACCAGGGCAAAGCAAAGGAAGAGGUGGGACUAUGUGAAGAAAGAAUGUAGGGUCUGACAUUUGAGGAAGGAGCUUCAUACUCUGAAUCCAAGGGCAAGAAUGAAGAUCUAACCAGAGUGCAGGAAAUAGGGAGGCGUGGAGCUAUGGAAGAGAGAGAACAGGGAGGUGACCCAAGAUGAACCCCUGAAUUCAUCUCUGAAUUCAUCUCUGUCAUCUGGAUUUCCAUUUUCACAGUUGCUCUUGUGCUUCCCAGAGAAAUCUUGGCGCCCUGAGUUGACAUCUUUGCUGGAGACUGACAGCUGGAAUGAGAUGUUCAAGUGAAGAAGAUGAAGAGAAACACGUCUCUUUAAGGAAAGACAUCAGGAACUUCUCUGGAAUGCUAUAUGAGGACUGAAAGCUGUCUCUGAGUUACAGCUGGUUUCAUCAACUUGAGACAUAGAGUUGACAUUUAUCAAAAGCUUUCUGGCUUCCAACAUGAAAAUUUCUAGAUAAUGUUCAGCCUAGAAAGUGGAAGAUUAAACUUCAAUGUUUCCUGUGAAAAUAAACCUUCAUUAAAAAAAUAAUUACCAAACACCUACUGUGCCAGGCUCUGCAGUAAGCAUCAGAGACACAGCACCCAGCAGAGAAGGAGCCCUAUGAGGUCUCUGUCAUCCUGGAACUUAGUCCUGACCUCCAACAUAAAGCCAGUCCUUUCAUUUAAAGAUGGAAUUGGUUGGAACACAAAGGAAACACCAGUACAAUUCAUAACUACGGAAACCUCCACAGAGCAAUGGAACACAGCUACAUUCCUGCACCUGGAAUGUCUGGUUUCAUGAGCAUCCAGAAGGAAGCGGGUGUGAAACUGAUCACCAACAUGUACAUUCUAAUUAAAUUCAGUCACAUUGCUAAAGCUGAGGACUCACAGAAUGGUUAUAAUGUACUUAUUUAAAAAAUAAAAUUUUAUUCUAAAAUAAUUCAAAUGAGAAGGAAACCAGGCAUAUGACUGUAAGUUAGUACUUAGCAAUCUAAUGAGUGAAGAGUUCUUAAAUAUAACAAUAGUCAAAACAGAAACAAUGAAAAACUUAGACUUUUUUGUUCAUAUUUGUCAAUUAAAACUGAUCAUAAACCAUUUUAAUCUUCUAACCAGUGUCUGUUAUAAUUUUGUCCAUUUUUUCAAUGGCAAAGAUUCCUAUUUAGAGUUCCUUCUUAUUCAAGGGGAUUGCUAGCUUUGUUUUCAAACUGAAAAUAACUUUAUUGUUUUGUGAUUAUAAAAAUGGGUAAAAGUAACAAAUGUUCAUAUAGUGUUUUAGCAAUACAUAAGUUCUGCAAUACUUAAAAGUGUGAAGAACAUGAAAUACAAGUAUAGCCAUCACUCAGUAUCCAUGGGGAAUUGGUUCCAGAAUCUUCCUUGGAUACCAAAAUUUGUAGAUGCUCAAGUCCCUCAUAUAACAUGGUGUAGUAUUUGCAUAUGACUUCCUGUAUACUUUAAAUCGGCUCUAGAUUACAUAUAAUACC
Molecule: long non-coding RNA, 1536 nt
Filed under: Homo sapiens (human)
Lineage: Eukaryota; Metazoa; Chordata; Mammalia; Primates; Hominidae
Description: HSALNT0112323
Source: RNAcentral